This 254-nucleotide ribosomal RNA is filed under the name uncultured bacterium. RNAcentral's name for it is "partial 16S ribosomal RNA". It matches the Rfam family "Bacterial small subunit ribosomal RNA", at positions 524 to 776 of the family's 1533-position model. The record is from RNAcentral.
GACGUAGGGCGCGAGCGUUGUCCGGAUUUAUUGGGCGUAAAGAGCUCGUAGGCGGCUUGUCGCGUCGACUGUGAAAACCCGUGGCUCAACCAUGUGGUCUGCAGUCGAUACGGGCAGGCUAGAAUUCGGUAGGGGAGACUGGAAUUCCUGGUGUAGCGGUGAAAUGCGCAGAUAUCGGGAGGAACACCGGUGGCGAAGGCGGGUCUCUGGGCCGAUAUUGACGCUGAGGAGCGAAAGCGUGGGGAGCGAACAGG